RNAcentral lists this ribosomal RNA (664 nucleotides) under uncultured archaeon. RNAcentral's name for it is "bacterial SSU rRNA". It matches the Rfam family "Archaeal small subunit ribosomal RNA", at positions 83 to 746 of the family's 1478-position model. The record is from RNAcentral.
GAAUAGCUCAGUAACACGUGGCCAAACUACCCUUCGGAACACAAUACCCUCGGGAAACUGAGGCUAAUAGUGUAUAUCGUACCACCACUGGAAUGAGUGGUACGCCAAACGCUCCGGCGCCGAAGGAUGUGGCUGCGGCCGAUUAGGUAGACGGUGGGGUAACGGCCCACCGUGCCAAUAAUCGGUAUGGGUCAUGAGAGUGAGAACCCAGAGACGGAAUCUGAGACAAGAUUCCGGGCCCUACGGGGCGCAGCAGGCGCGAAACCUUUACACUACACGACAGUGCGAUAGGGGGAUCCCAAGUGCACAGGCAUAGCGCCUGUGCUUUUCGGCACCCUAAGGCGGUGCCAGAAUAAGGGCUGGGCAAGACCGGUGCCAGCCGCCGCGGUAAUACCGGCAGCCCAAGUGAUGGCCGAUCUUAUUGGGCCUAAAGCGUCCGUAGCUGGCCGCGCAAGUCCAUCGGGAAAUCCACCUGCUCAACAGGUGGGCGCCCGGUAGAAACUGCGUGGCUUGGGACCGGAAGGCGCGACGGGUACGUCCGGGGUAGGAGUGAAAUCCCGUAAUCCUGGACGGACCGCCGAUGGCGAAAGCACGUCGCGAGAACGGAUCCGACAGUGAGGGACGAAAGCCAGGGUCUCGAACCGGAUUAGAUACCCCGGUAGUC